AUGGCCAUGGAGAGGUUCUUCACGGCGCUCGUCUUCCCCGAGGCGCUGCUGGACGGCUACGGCACGUCGGUGCUCAGCGCCGGCGCGGUCAACAGGCUGGUCUCAGGCGGCGGCAGCGCGACGAAGCCGGCGGUGACUAGCAAGGCGGACGCCGAGAAGUUGCAGGGAAAUUCGACAGUGCAAAGGCGCGCUGUGUUCGAGCUCGCGUUCGACGGGCUCAAUUGCUUCGACACCAUUGUCAUGCACUGA
RNAcentral lists this ribosomal RNA (249 nucleotides) under Triticum aestivum (bread wheat). RNAcentral describes it as "partial small subunit ribosomal RNA". Lineage: Eukaryota; Viridiplantae; Streptophyta; Magnoliopsida; Poales; Poaceae. The record is from RNAcentral.